AGCUUUGCACAGUGGCAGUAUCGUAGCCAAUGAGGUUUAUCCGAGGCGCGAUUAUUGCUAAUUGAAAACUUUUCCCAAUACCCCGCCAUGACAACUUGAACUAUAGUCGGCAUUGACAAUUUUUGACAGUCUCUACGGAGA
Aotus nancymaae (Ma's night monkey) is the source of this 141-nucleotide small nuclear RNA. Its record names the gene U4. It matches the Rfam family "U4 spliceosomal RNA". From Rfam's summary of the family: U4 small nuclear RNA (U4 snRNA) is a component of the major U2-dependent spliceosome. The structure of U4 snRNA from yeast and human has been reported. Lineage: Eukaryota; Metazoa; Chordata; Mammalia; Primates; Aotidae. The record is from Ensembl.